UACGGGGGGGGCAAGCGUUGUUCGGAAUUACUGGGCGUAAGGGCUCGUAGGCGGCCAACUAAGUCGGAUGUGAAAUCCCCGGGCUUAACCUGGGAACUGCAUCCGAUACUGGAUGGCUUGAAUCCGGGAGAGGGAUGCAGAAUUCCAGGUGUAGCGGUGAAAUGCGUAGAUAUCUGGAGGAAUACCGGUGGCGAAGGCGGCAUCCUGGACCGGCAUUGACGCUGAUGAGCGAAAGCUAGGGGAGCAAACGGG
Molecule: ribosomal RNA, 252 nt
Filed under: uncultured bacterium
Lineage: Bacteria
Description: partial 16S ribosomal RNA
Rfam family: Bacterial small subunit ribosomal RNA
Source: RNAcentral